CAGCAGCCGCGGGAAUACGGAGGAUCCAAGCGUUAUCCGGAAUCAUUGGGUUUAAAGGGUCCGUAGGCGGUCUUGUAAGUCAGUGGUGAAAGCCCAUCGCUCAACGGUGGAACGGCCAUUGAUACUGCAGGACUUGAAUUAUUGGGAAGUAACUAGAAUAUGUAGUGUAGCGGUGAAAUGCUUAGAGAUUACAUGGAAUACCAAUUGCGAAGGCAGGUUACUACCAAUUGAUUGACGCUGAUGGACGAAAGCGUGGGUAGCGAACAGGAUUAGAUACCCCCGUAGUCCCUGUCUCUUAUAC
This 301-nucleotide ribosomal RNA is filed under the name uncultured bacterium. Its description in RNAcentral is "partial 16S ribosomal RNA". It matches the Rfam family "Bacterial small subunit ribosomal RNA", at positions 509 to 807 of the family's 1533-position model. The record is from RNAcentral.